Bactrocera oleae (olive fruit fly) is the source of this 6093-nucleotide non-coding RNA. The record is from RefSeq and is a predicted model, not a curated record. NCBI's taxonomy places the organism in Eukaryota, Metazoa, Arthropoda, Insecta, Diptera, Tephritidae.
CUGAUAAUUCGCACUAAUGGUUUGGAAAACAUUUUCAAAAAUAGCUAAUUGAGAGUCUACAAAUCGGCAAAAGUCGUUGCUAACAAUUGUUUGGAAAAUUGUGCAGCAAUUCGAUCAUUUUGAAGUUGAACUCUCAUAUUAGUGGUCCAUAAAGGUGAUACCUUCAGGCAAGCAUUCAAUUCAUCUGCAGCCGUUGCACGGGGAAUUACUGGCAACGUCUGCCUGUCAACAAUAAUUGCAGCAACAUCAUUAACGGUGGGUGCAUUGAAUCUUCGCACAUGUUUACCUGUUGGGGUACAAUCAGCAUUUUGACAAAUUUGUGCGUAUCCGAUGGCAUUCGUUCCAAUGCUGUUUUGAACAUAUUAACCACAGCAUUAUUAGCGUGAAAAAAUGCUUGUAACUGUUCAAUAAUUCGUCUCUUUAACUGUUGUGUUCCCUGUAUAUUGCACCGCUCAUUCAGCUGAUCGACCAUCGACGAAAUGAAAUAUAUUUGCAGAAAUUUAUGCGGUUCAUCUGGUGUUGGCACCAUUGAACCAUGCAAAUGAUAUAUUUGUCCUUGUAUCUGUAAUUGCAAACAAUCAUUUGUUGAAGAAUACGGUGUAACUUAUGAUCGUGUGAUGGUGUUUUUUUUUUGUCAUGCGAAAGCAGUUAUUGUAUUCAAGGAUGUGUUGAAGAAAAUGGCUGGAAUCGGGAUCACUUCCAUCGAACAAUGGUUUCAGUGGCUGUGGUGGUGUAAGUAAUGGAUCCAGUUUGACUUUUCCACUUGCGCAGCACAAUCCAGCCGCUUCUCUUUUGAACUUUAACGCAUUGCAAUAUCGGCAUAUAGUCGUCAUUGGUCCAAUAUCUAAGUUUGCAUCAUCACUGUAGUUCGCAGUGGGAUCAGAUUGGAAUGCCAAGCGAUUGUAUGAUGCCAAUGAUCUUCGUGUGCUCACGCGUUGUCUCAAUCACACGUGUUGCUGGCUUGCAUGCUUGUGCGGCGGCCGAUGUUGGCACGUCGUCCUCUAGGCAUUUUGGACUAUGGAUAGAGUGGUGAAUUUAACCUCAAAUGCACGCUCCACAUAAUUUAUACAGUUCAACUUACCACCUUAAAGACAAAUGCCUGUUGUUGAAAUUGAAUAAAAAUUUGCACAAUACACGUGAUUGAUUUGAUGGUUUCCAAUUGAAAUGUUAGUUCCAAUUGUAAUGAACGAAUAACUUAUUUUUCACAAUUUCACAGUGAACACAAUACCGGUUUGUCACAUGAAAUUAAUUGAGCAGAGAACAAUGAGUAGCUGUCAAACAAUGUAUCACGCACCGGCGCCAUCUACUUAAAAUAUUGGUUUGUAGUACAUGCUAUGUAUCACAGAUGGCGCUGUAUGUGAAAAAAGAUUUUCCCGCCUUUCUGUUAAAAUAUUUCCUGAAUUUUCUUUGCUAUAAACCUCACGGAGCCCGAGACCUUUCCAACGAAUACAAAACCGUGGAAAUCGGUUCGUGCGUUCUGGAGUUAUAGCGUCAGGAAGGAAAACCCGACUUAUUUUUAUAUAAUAGAUUUGAAACGACACCGAACGCACUGGCCUGUGGUUUAUUUUGAAUUUAAAUUUGAAAAUAUAUGACUGGGGCAGAAGAGCUUAAAGCUUUGGGUGUAUUCAGUGCAAUUUAUCGUAGUACAUUGCACAACACCACAGAACACCAGUUCCUUCCAAAAAUUUUAAAUACGCGGGACACACAUAUUGUUUCUGUAGCAUACUACAAUAUGUACUAUAUGUGUCUUUCUGGCAUGAACUGUGUCGAUAUACGUAUAUCCCGCUCUUUCCCCUGUAUAGAUAUUAGCGUUGACAUCUUCGACAAAGCAGCCAAAAUCGCGAUCGCGAUAGCGUUCACGUCCACAACCUCUGAGACACUCUUCAUGUUUCUUUCUGUUAUAGCAUUUUCCAUCAAGAAUUAUUUGGAAAAAAAAGUUUAAGUUUAAAUAUAAUAUCAUCCUAUUUUAUUUUAUAGCAUCAAUAGGUGUUUAUAAAGAAGGUUAGUACUUGAAUUUUAUAUUGUUUCUAAAUAAUUGAAUAUAAGUGCAGAGGACGGAAUAAAAUUAUCAAUGCUCUGCACGUGCUGGAAAUCUAGUGAGAUCAAUGGUGCUGCGAUCGGGAAUGGUUGUGUCAUAUUUUUCCAAUGGUGGUUUCAAGGAAAGAUCAAACAGUUACUUAAAUUGUCUUUAAUCCUCUAGGUUCUAAAGAGUAGGUUGUACAAAAUUAAUUAAUUAAAAAUAGUAUUGUUUCAUUAGUAUAUAUGUAUGUAUGUACGUACAUAAUGUGCGAAUAUUAACAAUUGAUAAAUUAAGGUAACUAUUAUUAUAAACUAUAAAAAAUUAAGAAUUAACAUUAACUAUCUAUAAACCAUAAACAAGCUUUGUAACAAAAAAAUGAUAACAAUACCAUUUAGUACAUACAUACACUCUGCGAAAUUCAAUUAAAGGCGUGUAAAUUUUUCCUAAAAAUUUAAAAUAUUAAAUAAAUAUUUGCUUUUUACAUUUUCAAAAGAUGUUUAUUUGUAAUCUGGAACUUACGUCUUCCAGCAUAGAUUCACUGAGAUAGGUUUCCCAAAUGUUCUCGAUCGGAAAAAAACUUUCGAAUCGCGAUUUCCAGUCCAAAAGUUGAAUUGUUUCUUUUGAAGCCAGCUUCUGGUAGCGCGAAAGGCAUGUAUCGCGGCGUUAUCUUGCUGAAAUACGACGUUUCUGUCUGUGAGGAUAUCCAUAAAGACAUUCAGAACUUUGUCCAAUAAAUUUAUAUAUAUUUCUGAAAUCAUACGUCCGGAAAUUUUGCAUAUGGGUGUCCUGUUAUGAUAAUUGAAAUCAGCCAACAGUUGAAAUCAUUAAGCUACCACCUCCGAAGUUUCACUUGGCAGAAUAACACUCGGGGCCUCUCAAUGCCAAUAGUAAUUAAAUCCAUCAAGGCCAUCUAAAUUAUAUUAUACUUUUUACAUCCGAAAAUAUUACAUUUUUCCACUCAUCUGUCCAAGACAUGUGCUAUUUUUGCAAAUUGUAGUCUGGCAUAUUAGUGUGCCUCCUCCAAUGCAGGUUUUGUCUUCAUUUUUUUCCACAUUAAUCAAUUACUGCUUGAAAAAAUUUGUUGAUCUCGAAGCUUACUGAUUGGGAGGUUGAAAUCAACCCAGCACCAGUUUAUGCUUUUAUGACAGGUUUGUGUUAUAAUUUACAUGGGUUUCGCAGCUUUUUAUUAUCUAUAUCUUGUUUGAUUUUAUAACAUCUCUAGAAUAUUGCCCCAAAUUCUCAAGUUGAUAUCAGUAAUAGUAUUGGAGAAACAGCUUAGAAAAGUUGGCCGCUCGAGGUCAGCUAUAUGGUUACUUAAAACUUUAAAUGCGCUUUACUCGAAACUGUGUUUUCAAAGUCGGUUGUCAAGAUUUCUCGCGAACUACUCAACUGAUCUUAAUUAAAUUUUUCUUUGAGAUAUAAUUUACAAGGUCUUGCCUCGGAGGAUUUUUUUUGUUCAAUUACAACUAUUGAAAAAAAGAAAUGUCGAGCAAAUUUUACCAAAAUCAUAUUGUUGGAAAAAAGCAUGCCAAAAUUCCAAUUUUAACUUUUUUUUUUCCUCCGUACAAGCAGGAGUUUAUAGUCCUAACUAAAACACAUAUUAUAUAUUUUUCAUUUCAGAUGAUCCUGUCAGGAGUUAUGCUGACAACGCGGACGCACCUUUUUUUGAGGGGUCACCGGAAAUGACGUUACAAUGGCGGAGUUUUAAUUUUUUUUGUUGAAAAUCUCAGAAAUUAUUCUUUGAAUGUGUAUUUUUAAGACAGAAAAAUUCAAUUGAAUUAAUUGAAAAUAGGCCGUUUUUUACCCGACGAACACAUGUAACCUUAAUCAUAUUAUCGAUUUCUGAGGCUGAGCGACUCAAUGUAGCGACAAUUUGCCUGUUAGGCAUGCCAGUAUCCUUGUAAGAGUGGACUUGGGCGACUUCUGUAGGUGCUAGGGUCUUUCCUGUUCCUAUUCCAAAUUUUCGAGAAAAUUAACGCAAAGUAAAACAAUAACUCGUUGAAAAACAAAAAAGAAUUUUAAAAUAAAGUGUAAACAAUGUUGAUUAAUAUCACAACUGUCUCGUUGGAAGAUGCAAAAGAGACUGUUUUUAAUUGAAUUGCGCAACAAAUCUUACUAUUAUUUUAAGGAAGAAAAUUUAGUUUGUAACGUAUAUAUGUAUAAAUGCUAAUAUUUAAAAGCUAAUAUAAAAUAAUUACUAAAAAAUUGUAAAAAUAAAGAGGAAAAAUAGAAUCAUAAAGAAUAAUCAUGUAAAUUUGAAAAAAUACAAUAUUACAUAUCCGUCCUGUAAGGUUAUAGUUAUUUAUUUCUAAUUCCAACAACUUAACGCUUUAUUACUCAUCCGAAUUCACAACUUCUUACUUAUAUCUCAUUAACUCGUUUGUUUUUAUUUUUGUUAUUUGUAUAUAGGAGAAAGAUGUUGCGCCAAGAGCUCUAAAACUAUUCGCAAUUAAUGAAUUUCAUUUUUUUUACUCUAUUCAUUCUCCUUUUAUACCAUUCUAAUAGAAAUCGAUAAUAUUUGCGAUCUAACUAGUGUGUGAGAGUAUUAAUAAGAUAUAUUUCACAUAUUUUUAUGUUAGAAAAAUCAAAUUGUCAAAUGCGCAAUUUUUAACAGUUUUAUGCAAGGGCAUCAACCAGCACAAAAUCAGACGUGAAAACUGCGAAAUGGUGCCAGUAUUUAUUGCACUAUCGAAUAAUCUGUCUCUCUGAAUGAACCAGCACUUCAAAGCAGUAUAUCAACCUCUACCGUGUUAGCUAAAAUUGAUGGGGAGCUUCUUAAAGAAGAUUUUCUGUCCAACCUUCGCCCUGAGCAUCCAUCCAUUCAUGAAAAGGAUUCUCUUCUCAAGUCCCUCGAAGACAUGAGUGCAGAGAAGGUUCCAGAACACAUAAGUCGCGAGUAUGUAAUUACAAGAAAUGGAUCUAUGAACCUAAAUCUAAGGCUACAAUUUUUUGCAAUUGCACGAUUUUUGAAUUUCAAAACAAAAGUAAACUAAAUUUGUUAAUUGUGAGUAUAUAUCCCGAAUAUUAUAUCACAAAAAACUUCAUUAAACAUAUUUAAAUUUCGCCUGCCCUUUAAUUUUCAUUUUUUUAUAUUUUUUGUAGUGUUGUUGUUGUGACGGUUACCUAAUUCUUAUUACGGUGGCAAGACUCUCGUCAUGUAAGAGUUUACCUUGCUACAAUAUCCAGAACAAAAUUGUGCAAGAGUCACUCUCGAUUCUCGAGACAACUCGAGCUUUUUACACCAUUCAUUGGGUGGGAGUCGAUGAAGGUGUUGUUGGCUUCACUGUGAAUGGCAGUCAGGAUUUCUACGAAAUAAUCUAAGCAGAAAUUGCUUGACGAGGGGUGAAUUGUGUUCCUUAACCGAAAGAAUGCAUUCUUCAUUAUGUUGAUGUUUGUCAGGAUACAGCAGGAUUCAUUCUGUUAUCGUGCGGAGUGCAGCAUUUUAGCACAUCAGAAGCUAAUUUGUCUUCAUUUCCCUACAUCCACGCGUUCAUAGUUAAUGACCGGUCGCCUAGUAAGUUGCCAAAAACGUUUAUUUGUCUUUUCCCCAGGUGCUCCCAAAUAGCGACUUUUUGUUGCAGUUCUGAACUUUGGCAACCAUCUCGGUAAUAUGCGAAGUGAAGGAGCAUUUGCUGUCGAGUGUAAUGCUUAAAAUCUGGUACUUGUUAACAGUCGAAAUUUUAGUACCAUCGACUGUGAUGUUAAGAGCUGGUUUGAACUGCUUCGUUCAGUUUGUGAAUAUGGUCGCUGUGAACUUGGUACCGAAAAGAAGCGAGAAAGAUCGGUGAGAUAGCUGUUUACUUUUGAACACAUGCCAUCUAAUCUCACCCGAAGCUACGCUCAUAUGUUCGGAUCAUAUUCUUUUGGGCAACAUGUAACAUGAGGUAUGUACAUACUAAUUAUUUCGAGCUCGAAAAUUAGGAAUCAGAAUUGAAAACGAUAAAAAAAAAUGUAGUAGGCGUCAUGAAUUUGAUGUUAGAAACCGAAAGUGUAUCGGUUUUGGAUGUCACGGAAACCAAUUUUAUUGGUUAUGUUAUCAAAAACAAAACAAGAGAAUAGUCGCUGACAGAUUU